Molecule: long non-coding RNA, 1310 nt
Filed under: Toxoplasma gondii VEG
Lineage: Eukaryota; Apicomplexa; Conoidasida; Eucoccidiorida; Sarcocystidae
Source: RNAcentral
GGCGACGGCGUUAUGUCUCUUGAGAACCUGUCCAAAGUAGAACCCCUCCUUGAAGCACGGGUCCGUGGGUUUGUCGGCGCAGGUCUUCGGCCCCGACACGCAGGUCCCUUCUUCCUUGGCGCCGUUGACCUGUCGGAAAAGGUGGCAGUUCGAGGACAUGACCUGGAAGGAGAAGUAGUAGCACUGCGGAUCGCCUGCGCAUUUCGCCUGGCACUGCUCUGCGCUCUUGGCCUCUAUGGAGCUCAGAGGGGUCCCGACAAACAUCUUGUUUUGCAAGAAACACGUCGACGCAGUCGGCGGCACGGCAGAGCCCUCGCCUGGGCACUCCUUCGGUCCAGCCACCGCGUUCAGGCGACUGGAGGGAGUGCCCUUGCUCUUGCUCAAGUAGCACCUGUACAGAUCUGAGCGGUAGGUAAAGAAGUUGCAGGACGCUGUCAGCUUGCAGAGGGUUUGGCAUUCCUUUGGCGAGUCUGCUCCAAGAACGCUCAGAAUGUCACUGACAUACUCCACGUUCAGCUCGGCGCACGACGGCUCGAGGCCGGGGGUCGGGGGAACCGGCAUCGGGUUAGGUCCCGGAUAAGCUGGAGGAAUAGCGUGAUGCGGCGGCAGCGGAGGGGUUGGAACGUGGUUGUGCAGCGGCUGGAACUCAGGGGGCAUCUUGUCAGCGCAGUACCUGCGAAGCGUUUGCACAAACACACAAGACGCGUCCAGAUUGACACCGUCAACGUGGCGCGUGCCCAGCAGUGGAAAACUCGGAGUCACCGUGGCUUUCUCCCCUCUGCAUGCGUUCUAAGCGACGGGGACGGAUGCACGCACGUACCCCCGCGACACUCGACCACGCCCGCUGUUCAAAACAAAAUUUGCAUCUCUCCACGUCUCUCUGAAUCGACUUCGAGGUGUGCGACGUGCCACAGUCUGAACUUCAGCUGUAAUCGGGUGUCGCCUGCCUGGUGGCCUUUAGUGCGAAUGCUAUUUAGGAAGACACAGUGGCCUCGGAAUACUCCGUCGCGUGCUGUGUGUAGAGCACUGAAACGCCUGAUUGUUUUAAAGGAGACGGUUGCUCGCACACUCGCCGACGUCUGCAAAACAUGCACUCUUCUUCCCCUCACAGGAGCGUUCAGUCAGUCUCUUACUUCGACCCGGACAGGGCGUGUCUCCUGGGGAUAGGGGCGUUCGCGGCGAAACUGCCCUUCAGAGCGCACUCCAAGAUGUCUGCCUUGUAGGUGAAGAAGAAGCACGCGGCUUCGGCCUGGCAGAGUUUCUGGCAGGCGUAGGCGUCGUCCGUGACGAUUUGUUUCAGCGUUCCGGUG